Molecule: long non-coding RNA, 1608 nt
Filed under: Homo sapiens (human)
Lineage: Eukaryota; Metazoa; Chordata; Mammalia; Primates; Hominidae
Description: HSALNT0325108
Source: RNAcentral
GAGCCGGAGCUCACCUGGAACCCAAGCGCUGGGCCGCGAGCGCCGCGCGCAGCGCCGGCUCCAGCCAGUGCCUUUCUCUUCACACCUCCCCGCCAGCAGAGGGAGCAGGCUCCGGCCUCCGCCAGCCCCAGAGAGAGGCCCUCAUAGCGCAGCGGCGGGCUGAAGAGCUCCUUGAGCGCGGCCAGAGCGGACGCCGAGGCCGAGGACGCGCCCAGAGCCAGCAAGGGAUGCUACCACGCUGUCACCUCUCACCGUGAGCCACAACUGCUGGUCCUGCGUUCACGGCUUUCCUUUGUCUUUCAGGUGGAGACGCGCUGACCUGCCCCAAUACCUAUUGUUGUUUGUUAAAUUACUCCAAGAUACUUAUAGUUAACGGCAAACACCCAUUUAUAACCACAAAUCAUGUCAGAUGUUCAGGACCAGCACAAUCAAUCAAGUAAACAGCACCCUCCUUGAGUAUGUGGCAGGUGUGUGAGGAUUUCAUGAACCUGUCCUGCAUUUCCAAAUCCAUCCUGAGGCCUCUCCCUGGACACAGGUCUGUGGAUCAGCCUGUACUCGGGCAGUUUUACCUUCUAUGUCUGUUUGUCACGGUCCUCUUGUCCUAGUGCUCAUCACUGCACGUUCCCAGCUCCAGCAAGUGGCCACUCUUUUCCCUCCACAACCAAAGGCCCGACGGCCCAGCCCCCCGGUGGCAGGUGGCCCUUCCAUGGCUGAGGUCACACACCCAGCAUCGCAUCCUGCCCUUCUCGGGGCCUCGGGCCCCUUCGACUCGUCUCCAGGGAUUGCACUUGCUCCUGCUGCCCACGGAGGUUUCCUUCCUGUGAUUCCACUCGGAGGGGGCGCUUUUCUUUGCUGGCUUCAACCAUCACAGAGCUGCUUUGUGUUCGCCGGCAGCUGCCACGCUUCCCUGAAAAGGCGGCUUCUGUUCUGCUGGAGAUGAGCUGAUUUGCCUGGCAGCCAACUUAAACAAGGAGGCAAGAAAACAGCAUAGACUGGGCUCCCAAAUACAUCUACAUGGAUUUAAUGGACACGAUUUUAUACACGUGUCCUGGAAAAGUGCUGGCCACAAAGGAGAUGCCUGAUAAAGACUGUGGAAAAAAAUAUCUGAACAUACAGUCAUAAAAAAGAAGAGAGGAUGAAGACUCACUUCCGUCUGAAAAUGUAAGCUUCCUGAGGAUAGAAGUUUUUACUCUGGUUAACUGGGGUACUUAGCACUUGGAGCACUACACACAUCAUAGGAGUUCAGCAAAUACUUAUUGAAUGAAAUGAAACCUAUAAAUUCAGUCCCUGCCGCACAGAGAUGUGGAGUCUGAAUUUGCAUUACCUGCAUGGAGAAGAAAUACCGACCUGAGACUAUGCCAAUAAGUAUGACCUUGGAUUGAUGAAAUCAGGAACUGUAGGAGAAUCAAAGGUAUAACUCCUCUUGUUCCCUUCUAUAGAACACAUCUUAUUAAAAAUGACCACCAUAAAAACUACACAAAGAAUUUGAUAAUAUAGGAGAUGGUAUGGUUUGAGCCAGAAGGGCUAAUAGAGGUUUUCCUUUGGGGAAAAUGGUUGGGUUUAUGUUGUAUAAAUUGGUUUAAACGCUGAUAAGUAGGACCCAAUGGA